RNAcentral lists this ribosomal RNA (503 nucleotides) under uncultured bacterium. RNAcentral describes it as "partial 16S ribosomal RNA". It matches the Rfam family "Bacterial small subunit ribosomal RNA", at positions 30 to 523 of the family's 1533-position model. The record is from RNAcentral.
AUUGAACGCUGGCGGCAGGCUUAACACAUGCAAGUCGAGCGGGGUGAUGGUGCUUGCACUAUCACUUAGCGGCGGACGGGUGAGUAAUGCUUAGGAAUCUGCCUAUUAGUGGGGGACAACAUCUCGAAAGGGAUGCUAAUACCGCAUACGUCCUACGGGAGAAAGCAGGGGAUCACUUGUGACCUUGCGCUAAUAGAUGAGCCUAAGUCGGAUUAGCUAGUUGGGGGGGUAAAGGCCUACCAAGGCGACGAUCUGUAGCGGGUCUGAGAGGAUGAUCCGCCACACUGGGACUGAGACACGGCCCAGACUCCUACGGGAGGCAGCAGUGGGGAAUAUUGGACAAUGGGGGGAACCCUGAUCCAGCCAUGCCGCGUGUGUGAAGAAGGCCUUAUGGUUGUAAAGCACUUUAAGCGAGGAGGAGGCUCUUUUGGUUACUACCCAAGAUGAGUGGACGUUACUCGCAGAAUAAGCACCGGCUAACUCUGUGCCAGCAGCCGCAGUAA